Molecule: ribosomal RNA, 517 nt
Filed under: uncultured bacterium
Lineage: Bacteria
Description: bacterial SSU rRNA
Rfam family: Bacterial small subunit ribosomal RNA
Source: RNAcentral
GAUCAUGGCUCAGGAUGAACGCUAGCUACAGGCUUAACACAUGCAAGUCGAGGGGAAACGAUAUAGAAAGCUUGCUUUCUUUAGGCGUCGACCGGCGAAUGGGUGAGUAACGCGUAUCCAACCUGCCCCUGAGUAAGGGAUAGCCCAUCGAAAGAUGGAUUAAUACCUUAUGGUCUCCUUUGCAGACAUCUAAUUAGGAAGUAAAGAUUUAUCGCUGAGGGAUGGGGAUGCGUCUGAUUAGCUUGUGGCGGGUAACGGCCCACCAAGGCAACGAUCAGUAGGGGUUCUGAGAGGAACGGUCCCCCACAUUGGUACUGAGACACGGACCAAACUCCUACGGGAGGCAGCAGUGAGGAAUAUUGGUCAAUGGACGAAAGUCUGAACCAGCCAAGUAGCGUGCAAGGAUGACUGCCCUAUGGGUUGUAAACUGCUUUUAUACGGGGAUAAAGUCAGGGUCGUGACCCUGUUUGCAGGUACCGUAUGAAUAAGGACCGGCUAAUUCCGUGCCAGCAGCUGC